Oncorhynchus tshawytscha (Chinook salmon) is the source of this 1841-nucleotide long non-coding RNA. RefSeq lists it as uncharacterized. Lineage: Eukaryota; Metazoa; Chordata; Actinopteri; Salmoniformes; Salmonidae. The record is from RefSeq and is a predicted model, not a curated record. The transcript has 5 exons.
UACCAGAAUCUGGCCAACGAGCGAACGGAGGCGUGUAAUGGGCGGGGUUCGCUUUGGAAAAGUCGAUGGGGAUACUGUAACAAUGUGAGCAGUGCUUCAAGAUAGAAAAUAAUGACAUUACACGUUCAUAGAAACAGGUGACAACCCAGUUAUUGAAAACAUGAUCUAGCUGAGUGGGUCCCCAAGGGAGGAAAGAAAACAUACUUUGAGAGUCCCUGGGGUAUCACUGCACCUCAGCAACGUAGACAACAAAGCUUUGCUACACCUUCUCUCCUUCAUUGCAGAGUGGCUGAUGUGUAGAGAGGCCCUCCAUGUUGCGUCUGGAACCCAUGCAAAUGCUCUAGCCUUGAAUGACCUGUACCAGUGCCUUUCCCCUUCUCAACAACAGCCACUCCUGCCUCAUCAUAGACAAUGGGAUGUCCUAAAAUGAGUAAAGCAUGCCUUAAAGUAUAAAUGGCUCUACAAACAAUAUCAUUUCUCCUCUGAACGACUCUCACAGCUGCAGUGAAAACCUCGAUGGGUCAAAAAAGUGCAUGCAUGUCAGGUGUGGACAGAGGGAGGGUCAGGGGAGGAUACAUGUACAAGGCACAUGUUGAUUUUCAGAAAAUCCGCAGGAGACCAUGAAGAGAUGGGUAGAGGACUUCUUUUUUUUUACCCUGGCCUGGGUUCGUCCACGGUGCCAUCCAGUUGCACCCGCCCACCCUACCCACUUUUCCUGCAGUGAGCUCUGGGGUGAGUGGCGUACAUCUCCUGCCAGGAAAUUAGUUGCUGUGUGGCUCUUGAAGGCCCAUGCCUUGAUGCAGUGAUCUCUACUUCUCUCCUCCUCAGUGUCCCAGCAGAGGGACAAGCUGGAUCUGUGCCUUUUUCUUCCCUCAUCUCUCUCACUUUCUCCCUGCCUCUCUUGCUCUCUCCAAUCCCAUGUCAGUCAGUCAGGGGAGGGAUCCGAGUUGUGCUUCCUGGAAGAGCUUCUCUCUUAAAGCGGCACAACAGAGUCCUGUAUAUCAUGGUUCCAUAUGAGAGGAGUCGUUAAACUUGCUCGCUUGGUGACUCAACAUAAGCAGCAGUCGUAAUCGGAUGGGAUACUUUCUCAUGCAGCAACUGGACCACAGGCUAAGUGGAUGCAUUUCCCCCCUAUUAGUCUAUGAGGAGGACCCUGUGUCCUCUUAUUGGAUGACAACCAGGAAGUGGAAGAUGGCCACUAAUUGGCUUUAGAGGCAUUGUUGUUUUUGGUUUUAUGGUAGAGAUCUUUUAAAAUGUAGCGUGAUUGAGGAAGACAGUGACUAUUUUAACCCAGAUAUUGUGUUCCUAGUUCUGAGUACAGUUAGAUACUUUUAUCCUCUUUCUCUCUCCAAUUCUGCAUAACCAACACAGUAACUCAUUCCUUGAAACACACACUCACUUAAACAGUGAAGAUGACACUCAUCUCUCUUAUGUUGUCUCUGGCAGAGCUGAGACCCGAUGGUGGCCAGAAAGAUGGGAUGCAUCCCAGAAUGCUAUUAAGCAGAGAGAUGGGCCUGCAGUUCUCUACUUGACAACAUGCAUCUGUACAAGGUAUCCAUGAUGAUGGUACAUGUGCACCUUGGCUUUGGUACCCAUCCUGCAAAGAUGUCUUAAAUCAAAAUCUGUUGAUACCGUGCAUUCGGAAAGUAUUCAGGUCUUUAUGGUAGAGUGGCCAGAUGGAAGCCACUCCUCAGUGGAAUGCUCAGCCUACUUGGAGUGUGUGGGCUGUCAUGUGCCUUUUUAUAGACUCUCAGACCAUGAGAAACAAUGUUCUCUGGUCUGAUGAAACCAAGAUUCAACUCUUUGGCCUGAAUGCCAAGCGUCAUGUCUGGAGAAAACCU